GAGGAAAGUCCGGGCUCCGCAGGGCAGGGUGCCGGAUAACGUCCGGCGGGAGCAAUCCUAGGGACAGUGCCACAGAAAUGAGGACCGCCGAUGGUGUCGGCAAUGCCGGCACACAGGCAAGGAUGCAACGGUGCGGUAAGAGCGCACCAGCAACCCGGGAACGGGUUGGCUAGGUAAACCCCACCUGGAGCAAGACCGGAUAGGAGUGCGCACGUGGUGGCCCGCCACGCACUCGGGUAGGUUGCUUGAGCCAAUUGGCAACAGUUGGCCUAGAUAGAUGAUUGCCACUCCAUUCGUGCGAGGCAGACGGGUGAAAUGACCGAGAGCGAGUUGCUUAUCGGAUUUUGCGGACCUGCCGCUUGGAGCACAGGAGCACAGAAUCCGGCUUA
RNAcentral lists this unclassified non-coding RNA (389 nucleotides) under unidentified bacterium SM-A01. RNAcentral describes it as "partial RNAase P". The stretch from base 1 to 294 matches the Rfam family "Bacterial RNase P class A", at positions 43 to 328 of the family's 367-position model. From Rfam's summary of the family: Ribonuclease P (RNase P) is a ubiquitous endoribonuclease, found in archaea, bacteria and eukarya as well as chloroplasts and mitochondria. Its best characterised activity is the generation of mature 5'-ends of tRNAs by cleaving the 5'-leader elements of precursor-tRNAs. Cellular RNase Ps are ribonucleoproteins. The record is from RNAcentral.